UACGGGGGGUGCGAGCGUUGUCCGGAAUCACUGGGCGUAAAGCGCACGUAGGCGGACUCUUAAGUCGGUGGUGAAAUCCUGGAGCUCAACUCCAGAACUGCCUUCGAUACUGAGAGUCUCGAGUCCGGGAGAGGUGAGUGGAACUGCGAGUGUAGAGGUGAAAUUCGUAGAUAUUCGCAAGAACACCAGUGGCGAAGGCGGCUCACUGGCCCGGUACUGACGCUGAGGUGCGAAAGCGUGGGGAGCAAACAGG
This 253-nucleotide ribosomal RNA is filed under the name uncultured bacterium. RNAcentral's name for it is "partial 16S ribosomal RNA". It matches the Rfam family "Bacterial small subunit ribosomal RNA", at positions 524 to 776 of the family's 1533-position model. The record is from RNAcentral.